UUGAACGCUGGCGGCAUGCCUUACCCAUGCAAGUCGAACGGCAGCGCGGACUUCGGUCUGGCGGCGAGUGGCGAACGGGUGAGUAAUACAUCGGAACGUACCCUGUUGUGGGGGAUAACUAGUCGAAAGAUUAGCUAAUACCGCAUACGACCUGAGGGUGAAAGUGGGGGACCGCAAGGCCUCACGCAGCAGGAGCGGCCGAUGUCUGAUUAGCUAGUUGGUGGGGUAAAGGCCCACCAAGGCGACGAUCAGUAGCUGGUCUGAGAGGACGAUCAGCCACACUGGGACUGAGACACGGCCCAGACUCCUACGGGAGGCAGCAGUGGGGAAUUUUGGACAAUGGGGGCAACCCUGAUCCAGCAAUGCCGCGUGUGUGAAGAAGGCCUUCGGGUUGUAAAGCACUUUUGUCCGGAAAGAAAUCGCGCUGGUUAAUACCUGGCGUGGAUGACGGUACCGGAAGAAUAAGCACCGGCUAACUACGUG
RNAcentral lists this ribosomal RNA (483 nucleotides) under uncultured bacterium. Its description in RNAcentral is "partial 16S ribosomal RNA". It matches the Rfam family "Bacterial small subunit ribosomal RNA", at positions 30 to 507 of the family's 1533-position model. The record is from RNAcentral.